UGGCUCUGGCAUCGAUGAAGAACGCAGCGAAAUGCGAUAAGUAGUGUGAAUUGCAGGCUUUAGUGAAUCAUCGAAUCUUUGAACGCACAUUGCGCCCCUUGGUAUUCCAUUGGGCAUGCCUGUUCGAGCGUCAUCUACACCCUCGAGCCGAGCUCGGUGUUGGGCGCCUGUCUGCGCUGCAGACUCGCCUCAAAUCCAUCAGCGGCGGCCUGGCUAGCGUCCCACGCAGCGCAUGCGUACAGGGCCAGCUUGCCCAGGUGCCACGGAACAUCAGGAUUUGACCUCGAAUCAGGUAGGGAUACCCGCUGA
RNAcentral lists this unclassified non-coding RNA (309 nucleotides) under uncultured fungus. RNAcentral describes it as "partial contains 5.8S ribosomal RNA and internal transcribed spacer 2". The stretch from base 1 to 133 matches the Rfam family "5.8S ribosomal RNA", at positions 22 to 154 of the family's 154-position model. The record is from RNAcentral. Lineage: Eukaryota; Fungi.